Molecule: long non-coding RNA, 231 nt
Filed under: Nicotiana benthamiana
Lineage: Eukaryota; Viridiplantae; Streptophyta; Magnoliopsida; Solanales; Solanaceae
Description: long non-coding RNA (NBEN_LNC032711)
Source: RNAcentral
GGACUUUGAAAGACAUAGAGUCUGGAUUAAAAUGAGAAAUGGACUGGACUUGUCUCUGUUUCUCAUCAUUGAGGACCAUAUUAUAGAUACUGUCAAGGGUAGGAGGAGGCUGCAUCAUCAAUAAGUUACUCCUUACCCCCAUGUAUGCUUCAUUAAGGCCCAUGAGGAACUGGAACACCUUAUUCUCAUCAUCUUCCUGUGUGAUGCCAUUUCUGGCAGGAAAAAUGCAUC